Molecule: unclassified non-coding RNA, 220 nt
Filed under: uncultured fungus
Lineage: Eukaryota; Fungi
Description: partial contains 18S rRNA, ITS1, 5.8S rRNA, ITS2 and 28S rRNA
Source: RNAcentral
AAGGAUCAUUACCACAAAUUACGGGGGGUUGGCUCCAAAGUUCAAGCCUGCUUGUUCGUUGUCCAGCUCCUGCCUGUAUAUACCCUUGUCUUUUGCGUACAAUUUGUUUCCUUGGGGGGCUCGCCCCCCAAUUGGACACCAAUACAACCCUUUGUAAUUGCAAUCAGCGUCAGAAUAAAAAUAAUAAUUACAACUUUCAACAACGGAUCUCUUGGUUCUG